AUCCAGCCAUGCCGCGUGUGUGAAGAAGGUCUUCGGAUUGUAAAGCACUUUAAGUUGGGAGGAAGGGCAGUUGCCUAAUACGUAACUGUUUUGACGUUACCGACAGAAUAAGCACCGGCUAACUCUGUGCCAGCAGCCGCGGUAAUACAGAGGGUGCAAGCGUUAAUCGGAAUUACUGGGCGUAAAGCGCGCGUAGGUGGUUUGUUAAGUUGGAUGUGAAAUCCCCGGGCUCAACCUGGGAACUGCAUUCAAAACUGACUGACUAGAGUAUGGUAGAAGGUGGUGGAAUUUCCUGUGUAGCGGUGAAAUGCGUAGAUAUAGGAAGGAACACCAGUGGCGAAGGCGACCACCUGGACUAAUACUGACCUGAGGGGCGAAAGCGUGGGGAGCAACAGGAUUAGAUACCCUGG
Molecule: ribosomal RNA, 410 nt
Filed under: beta proteobacterium DN1
Lineage: Bacteria; Pseudomonadati; Pseudomonadota; Betaproteobacteria
Description: bacterial SSU rRNA
Rfam family: Bacterial small subunit ribosomal RNA
Source: RNAcentral